This 299-nucleotide ribosomal RNA is filed under the name uncultured bacterium. RNAcentral's name for it is "partial 16S ribosomal RNA". It matches the Rfam family "Bacterial small subunit ribosomal RNA", at positions 334 to 653 of the family's 1533-position model. The record is from RNAcentral.
GACCUACGGGAGGCAGCAGUGGGGGAUAUUGCACAAUGGGGGGAACCCUGAUGCAGCGACGCCGCGUGGGUGAAGAAGCGCCUCGGCGCGUAAAGCCCUGUCAGCAGGGAAGAAAAUGACGGUACCUGAAGAAGAAGCCCCGGCUAACUACGUGCCAGCAGCCGCGGUAAUACGGAGGAUGCGAGCGUUAUCCGGAUUUAUUGGGUUUAAAGGGUGCGUAGGCGGACAGUCAAGUCAGCGGUAAAAAUGCGGUGCUCAACGCCGUACAGCCGUGGAAACUGGCAGUCUUGAGUGGUCGA